Molecule: long non-coding RNA, 15513 nt
Filed under: Triticum aestivum (bread wheat)
Lineage: Eukaryota; Viridiplantae; Streptophyta; Magnoliopsida; Poales; Poaceae
Description: long non-coding RNA (TAES_LNC004294)
Source: RNAcentral
CUAUCAUUUGAAGCACCAGAGCAAGGAGUUCAUCAUCAACAACACCAUCUAUUACCUUUUGCAGAGUGGUGUCUCUUAGAUUGGUUAGGUGUCACUUGGGAGCCUCCAAGAUAUUGUGGAGUUGAAUCAAGGAGUUUGUAAGGGCAAGGAGAUCGCCUACUUCGUGAAGAUCUACCCGAGUGAGGCUAGUCCUUCGUGGGCGUAAGCCAUGAUGGAAUAGACAAGGUUGCUUUUUCAUGGACCCUUCAUGGGUGGAGCCCUCCAUGGACUCGCGCAACCGUUACCCUCUAUGGGUUGAAGUCUCCAUCAAUGUGGAUGUACGAUAGCACCACCUAUCGGAACCAUGACAAAAAUCAUUGUGUCUUCAUUGUGUUUGAUUUCUUCGAUCUCUCCUUUACAUUCAUAUGCAAAGUCUUUACUUUCCACAGCUCAACUCUUAGACUUGCAUGUGUACGGUGUACUUGACUUGGUAGAAUUGAUAAAGCUUGCCUACCACUAAAAUUGGGAAAAGGAUAAGUUUUUAUUUCAUCAAGUAGUCUAAUAACCCCCCUCUAGAUAUACUUUCGGUCCUACACGACCCGCAUAUGCGACGCUCUGCUGCUAUAUGUAUGGGGCUGGGGGCUUGUAGGGUUAGCAAACCAGAUCCCCUUCGUCACGAAACGUCUCCUCUGCCGCUAGGUUUAGAGCACUCUACAAGCAAUUAGCCCCACCUCUCCUCUCCUUUUUCACCAUCGACGGAAGAUCCAUGGCAAGCGGAUCUAGCUGUGGUGGUCACGCCAAUGCUGGUGGAGGCCGAGGCGGGAACAGGGGCACGACUGGUAAGUGACGCCACUAUGACACCGAGCAAGAAAGCUCGAGCCAUGCCAUCGUGACGCUUUCCAGCUCAAGCAAGGAGGACGACAACAGGGGCGCAAGUGGAGGUCGAGGCAGGCUCAGGAGCGUGCCAGCAAGCAACGCCACCACGACGCCAAGCAAGCAAGCUCAAGCCACACCGUCGUGACGCUUUUCAACUCAAGCAACAAUGACAACAAAGGGUGGCGCGAGUGGAGGUCGAUGUAGGCUCGGGAGCACGGUUGGCUCUCCCGGUGUGGCGGCCGGGGAGUGUAGGGUAGGUUUGAUGUGCGACGAGCACAUCUUCCCCCACAUCCAGUGAUUCCGCACCAUGGAUGAAGAGCUCCUUGCCGAUGAGUGUGUGGUAGCGGCAAACGAAGAAGGGGCUCCCGCCCGCGUCGAAGCCUCCAAGAACAAGCACCAGGUCGAAGUGGCACUGUGGAAAUCCGCCAUGAAGUUUUACCUCGGCAUCGUUGAGUGAGUUAUGGUUAAGUUUUUAUUACUACAAGAUGACCCGUUGCACCAAUGGUGCAAAGGGCGUGAGCAAAUCAGGCUUUCAGACCAUGCAAGAUGGGAUUUUUAUACAACGAUCAUAAAAUCAACCCGUUGCGCCCCUGGAACAAAAAGCGAGAGCGAACCGAGCAUUCAAACCAAAAGAGUAGUUUAGAUAUAGAUAAUAGAAUCCUUGAAGCAUAAGGACAUAGAUACUUAGGUAUUGCAUGGUAGCAUGAUAGGCCAGAAACUUAUUUGGCUAGUUCAUGAUAGCUUAUUUACAUUGGUUUUAUAUUAGAAAGCAAGCUAUAUAGGUAGUAUCAUACAGAUAGCCCUGGUUCGGUUUCUCAGCUUGUGGUUCAUCUUUGUAGCUCCUGCUUGUAGGAAAAACCAAGACAUGCACUUGUUUCCAUAGGUAGAGUCAUCGCUACAUGUUGCAUCAGUAUCGAACAUGACCUUAUUCUCUAACCAACUCUUCAUGGCUAGGUGUUUUCGGUGGGCUGUCAUUGUUGAAAGCACAUAUGCUUUCCAUACCACUAAAACUCAUCGUCUAAGCACAAAUCUGUAGAAUGUCCCCUGAAUAUAUAGUUGCAUUGUCAAGGUUUCUACAACCUACUUUACUUGCGAGAAAGUAUGGUUAUCAUUGUCUUCGGGUGUUGAUCAUUCGCUGAGUUGUAAUAAUAUUAAGUGGAAGCCUCAAAUAAUGAAAGAAUCCCUUGUUUAACUAAAAGUUUUGCUGAUUGGAGAGGAAACAUUCUGAAGUAUACUUUGUAGUAAUUUGAUAUAAUCUAAUAAAUCAAAUAAAUCUAUACUCACUUUUGUAGAAGCUUAGAAGUAAUAUAAGAUUACCUGACAACGGACAACGAUUGAAAUUUCUUAACUAAUGUACUGUGUUAAAGAGAGAAAAGGCAUGUGCCUACACGAAAGAAUAAAUCGUAGUGAAUAUUUGCUAUAAAUAUUCUAUUACACAAAUGGCAUCCAUAUAGUCACACCUGAAUAUCGUUUAACACUAGUGUAGAUGACGAGCACAGCUUGGAUCGCCUGCGAAGAUGAAGCGUUGCCAUUGCAAUCGGCAUCAAGCACCAUAGGGUGUGCAAUCAGCAACAAGCAUGCGACUAGCACCAUAGGAAAGUAGUCUCCAAUAUGAAGAGCGAAACUAAGAGUAUGAAAAAAAUACCGACGUUUAGAUGUAUAGGAAUGCAAAAUAAAUGUUGGGGGACCAUUUUUCUUAUCAAGACAUUCACACGGGGAAUUACUACUUCGCUUUCUUGUUUCCUCCAGCUCCUUUCCCACCACUAGUGUUCCUUAAGUUCCAGACACCCAUGUUUAGCAAAAGAGGAUCAUUGUACCUGUUUACUUCAUAGCAUAAAUAAACAAGUGAUGUGAAGAACAACCCGUCUUUGAUUUUGGGUGGGUGAGAGGAUCACUGCCAUCCUCAGUAGCAACCAGAGAAGCAUGGACAUCGCCAUCGUAGUAUAAGAAAUAGAAAUCUAGUUAAAUGGAAGAGAGGUGAUGCAUACAUCAAACAAUAUUUUCAGCAAUCAAUGCAUAAUUUAAAAUAUAUAUAUGUAAGUUCCAGAUUGUUUAGUUCUUAUGAUGCACUUGUCAAUAUGUUACUAAUAUUUUCUGCAAUCCAUGUGAACCAUUGCUCAAUUCUUUGGCAAAACACAACAUAGCAAUGCGGUGUGAUCAAAUUAUAUUUUGGCAUCACUAUUUUUUCUUUCUAAUCCAUAUGAACAUUGCCAUCAGCUGUGUUUUUAAAUGACUGGUAUUCCUCUGACUAAAUAAUAGUGUGAAUAAGAAAAAAAAUAGGCAACAAACCAUUUCGGGAUUAUACAGGAAGUUGUUGACUAGGAAACUAUAAACAGAAAAACGGUUUCAUCGGGCCAAUAUGUAUUAAACCUUCAAAAGGUGAGCAAUUUGUGAUAGCAUAUCUCCCUCUUAUUUAUGAAAUUAUUCUUACUUAUAAUUGGGGCAUCUGCCAAUAAUUUCUCUCCAGCCGGUGUACAAUAACUAUGCGGCGAAAUUUCUACAUACCGAAGGUUUUCUAUUCCCUAAACCUGACAUGAUGCUUGCUCCAAUAUGCCAUGUCUACCUGGAUGAUACAAUAAAUGAAGUGCUUGUGAGUAUAAUAAAUUACCUACUGAUCAAGCUAGUGUAAGGUAGGUUGGAUUGUAGGCUGAGAAGUACCAAGCCGAGGAAGAACAAAGUUGGGCAAGGCUAAAGAUUGAGGAAUACCAUGAGGAUGUAGCAUAUAAGAAUGCAUCCCAGCCAUCUGCCCAGGAGGAACAAAACCACUUAGGCCCAAUAGUGAUGGAACAAUAGGUACAACAUUAGCAUUAUUUCCCUCAAGAAAUAUAACCAAAGUGCGCUUAGGAAUUAUUCAUAAGGAAUAAAAUAGAACAAUCAACACAACCAAUAUGAUAGUCUAAGCAUAAAAGGACCAUAUAUAUGAGUUGCAUUCCUCUAUGUAACACUACAAACUCACAAUGCGGCAAACAAUCUGAUGAUCAUAAUAGCAUAUGUGCAAUUUAAGGCUUUCACUCGUUUGAACAAAUGAGACAUCAAACAAGUAUACAAAAUUUAUUUCUCUAUCCAGCAACUCAGCCCAGCCUGCACACAUAUGGGAUAAAUCAAAAGAAUCAUGGAUUCAUGUUUCUCAAUCCAGCAACUAAGCAAGUAAUCCCAAAUUGCAAAGUACCAACAAAUAUUUAUGAGCAGAAAACAGAACGCUACAGCAACGCAACCAUCACCAAUAUUAGAUGCAUAUCAAAAUGAAUGAUAGCCGCAUGGGCAACAAAAAAAUUCAGUAUCAUAAGUUUGUGGACAUUGUCAAGAGCACAGUUCAUGGUGCCAAGAACAAGAAUGGGAGGGAGGGGUCAAACCAUUAAACGUUUAGGAAGAUCAUCGUCCUUCAUUCCCAUGUUAGUCUGCAUUACGCAAGGUGAUUGUUACUAAAUUGCAGAGCAUAUCAGCGGUCAGCGUGGAAGCACGAUCACCUAUGGGGCAGGGGUUCCCCUUUGAGGUUCGGCAAGGGGACGGUCACAUUGCGCAAAGAGCAGAAAUGGUAGGGGUGGCGUGGCGAUGGACAACUCUCUUUUGCCCAGGUUCGGGCCGCUUUGCUGCAUAAAACCCUACUCCUACUGUGGAGGAUUGAUCUGGAGGAACACGAAGACACGACGUGCUCUAGCCCGGCAAGGGUUCCUCGGGGGGCAGCAUGUACGUACAAGUGUUGGGGGAUCUAAAAUUUGAACCCCUUGCUAGGUUGCCUCGGUCCUCCUUUUAUAGCUUAAGGGGCGAGCACAGUGGCAAAAUAGUCAUUUUGGUGUGAUUAGAUAGCUAACAGUGCUAUCAUACCUAACUCUGGCGGUUAGGACAAAGCGCAUUAAAUGCACUACUAGGUGCCAUGUUGAGGUUGAACCCCGGCAAGACUGCCGCGCUGCUUAUCCAUCUUCUCCUCAUUAGCAUGACACGCCUCCAUGACGAGUGUCAAUAAAGCUAAUCUCUUCUCUAGCAUGUUGCCACGUGCCUGACAGGAUCCACCUAGCUACUUGAGAGCUUGACACCACAUUAAUUAGCAGUUGGCGUGUGAUGAGGUGGAGCAGUGGCGUCUUGGUGAAGGCUCGCCGGCAAGGAUCUUGGCGGGUUCUGAGUUUGACGGCCCCGGGAGCCUUGCCGAGGUGAUCCGGCCUUGUUCCUUAGGUGCAGCCUCGACCUGACCUGGCUCUCCUUUCCCGCAAGGGAGGCUUCCGUCAGGUGAUCUCCUUUCAACUUGAUCUUCUUAAUGCUCCCCUUGAUCUCACGAGGAGCGGUUUCUCUGGCUUAUCUCGCGUCAUGCAUAGAUACUUGAUGUAUGAAUGACUUUACGCAUGUGCGUGAGUACGGGCGGCAAACAUAAAUGUUUGCUGCACCGACAUAUGCAAAUAAAAACAAAAGUGGGUCUACUUGAUUGAGAUAAAUAGUGGAUAUAUGAGGACAAGAGUGCAGACAUCACACAAGUAUUUCAAAUAUAUAUGCUCUUCUUUGUAGCUAUCUUUGUUCUGUUUGGUAAAGUUAAAUGGGGAAUAAAAAAGAGACUAUCUUGAUGCCAUCGCAGAACCUCUGAAUUUUGAUAACCAUACAACCGUAUGUUUGCUUAAUGAAAAAAACAAACUAUACAAACCAUUUACAGGAAUAUCGAUAACAAACUUGUUCCAUCUUGAAUAAAAAAAUUCUACCAAAUGUUCCGCAACCAGACCAUUUUUCCAAUACAUUUAGCUCAAUAUGCACAACUCAUGUAUAUUAGGCAUAGUUUUAAAUAGCCGGCUAUAGCCCCUCUAUAGCUCUGCUAUAGCUGUUUGAGGGUGUUGCCGCUAAAUGAUUUCAUGUACAAUUUGCCGCUAUAGCUCGGCUAUAGCUGUUUUUAAGGGUUGCCGCUAAAUGCCAUAGCCCGCUAUUUAAAACGUUAUUAUUAGCACAAAUUAUAACAGCAAAAUGAACCAUGUUCGCAUGAAAGAGAGAGAGUCACCUUGUUCUUCACCAAAUUCUUCUACCGUGCCUUCUGUUCCUCUUCUCUCUCAGAUCUGACAGGUUGUGGUGUUUAGAUAAAAUGAAUACCAGGAAAUCAAAACCAGAAAAACAAAAAAGUAACAGGGGAGAGCACCUAAUAGCGAUUGUCGAGAACUGCAUCUUACUAUAGUCGCACAUUCUAUGGCAGCACCCAACCACUACAAAGACAAAUUCAGGAACAUCUGUGACACAGAGAGUAGUGGAAUAAGAUAGAGUACAUCAAGAGAGGGGAGAACAAGAGGUGGGGAGGAUAAAAAUACCUACAGGCACAACAUCUCUUGCCAAGGAGGUCGGCAGGGAGUCUCCAAUGCCAGCUCCAUGGCUGAGCCGAGCCAAGCCGCCUCCUGGCUCGGCGGUCUCACCUCCCUCUUUCCCAUAUGUGCAUCAUCGACGCCGACGGUGCUCUCUUCCUUGAUCCAUGCCACCGGCUGCUCCUCGCCUUCAUCUGCAUUGCCGACCUCUUCUCUCCUUUCAUCCAUGCCGUCAUCUGCUCUUCUCCCUCGCCUCCUCCUCACCUUCCCUGUCUCAGUCUCGAGCUCGAGCUCCAACCUAUCACCCGCCAGAUCCGGCCCGUAAACCCCUCCUUCCUCACCAGGCGCUGGAGCUCACCCAUGUCUUCUCCUACACCUCAUGAAGUGUGCGCCACCUUGCUCCUUCCCCAUGGUAACUCAGUUUCACAUCUUGUGGUCGAUUGUUGUAGCUCCUGCUUGUAGGCAAAACCAAGACAUGCACUUGUUUCCAUAGGUAGAGUCAUCGCUGCUUGUUGCAUCAGUAUCGAACAUGACCUUAUUCUCUAACCAACUCUUCAUGGCUAGGUGUUUUCUGUGGGCUGUCGUUGUUGAAAGCACAGAUGCUUUCCAUACCACUGAAACUCAUCGUCUAAGCACAAAUCUGUAGAAUGUCCCCUGAAUAUAUAGUUGCAUUGUCAAGGUGUUCUACAACCUACUUUACUUGUGAGAAAGUAUGGUUAUCAUUGUCUUCGGUUGUUGCUCAUUCGCUGAGUUGCAAUAAUAUUAAGUGGAAGCCUCAACUAAUGAAAGAAUCCCUUAUUUAACUAAAAGGGUUGCCGAUUGGAGGGGCAAACAUUCUGAAGUAUACUUUCUAGUAGUUUGAUAUAAUCUAAUAAAUCAAAUAAAUCUAUAGUCACUUUGGUAGAAUCUUAGAAGUAAUAUAAGAUUACCUAACAGCGGACAACGAUUCAAAUUUCUUAACUAGUGUACUGUGUUAAAGAGAGAAAAGGCAUGUGCCUAUACGAAAGAAUAAAUUGUAGUGAAUAUUUGCUAUAAAUAUUCUACAACACAAAUGGCAUGCAUAUAGUCGCGCCCGAAUAUAGUUUAACACUAGUGUAGAUGACGAGCACAGCUUGGAUCCCCUGAGAAGAUGAAGCGUUGCCAUUGCAAUCGGCAUCAAGCACCAUAGGGUGUGCAAUCAGCAACAAGCACGAACAAGCACCAUAGGAAAGUAGUCUGCAAUAUGAAGAGCGAACCAGAGAGUAUGAAAAAAAUACCGAUGUUUAGAUGGAUAGGAAUGCAAAACAAAUGUUGGGUGGACCAUUUGUCAUGUCAUGGGCAUUCACCCAGGGAAUUACUGCUUCGCUUUCUUAUUUCCUCCAGCUCCUUUCCCACCACUAGUGUUCCUUAAGUUCCAGACACCCAUGUUUAGUAAAAGAGGAUCAUGUACCUGUUUACUUCAUAGCGUACAUAAACAAGCAAUGGGAAGAACAACAUGUCUUUGAUUUUGGGUAGGUGAGAGGAUCACUGCCAUCCUUAGUAGCAGCCAGAGAAGCAUCGGCAUCGCCAUCCUAGUAUAAGAAAUAGAAAUAUAGUUAAAUGGAAGAGAGGUGAUGCAUACAUCAAACAAUAUUUUCAGCAAUGAAUGCAUAAUUUAAAAUAUAUAUAUAAGUUCCAGAUUAUUUAGUUCUUAUGAUGCACUUGUCAUUCUGUUACUAAUAUUUUCAGCAAUCCAUGUGAACCAUUGCUCAGUUCUUUGGCAAACCACAACAUUGUAAUGCGGUGUGAUCAAAUUAUAUUUUGGCAUCACUAUUUUUUCUUUCUAAUCCAUGCGAACAUUGCCAUCAGUUGUGUUUGUAAAUGACUAGUAUUCCUCUGAACUAAAUAAAUGUGUCAAUAAGAAAAAAUAAAUAAGCAAUAAUCCAUUUCGGGGUAAUAUAGGGAGUUGUUGAUAUAGGAAACUACAAACAGAAAAACGGCUUCAUCAGGACGAUAUGAAUUAAACUUCAAACGGUGAGCAAUUUAUGAGAACAUAUCUCCCUCUGAUUUAUGAAAUUAUUCUUUCUUAUAAUUGGGGCAUCUGUCCAAUAAUUUCUCUCCAACCGGUGUACAGUAACUAUGGGGCGAAAUUUCUACAUACUAAAGGUUUUGUAUGCCCUAAACCUGACAUGAUGCUUGCUCCAAUAUGCCAUCUCUACCUGGAUGAUACAAUAAAUGAUGUGCUUGUGAGUAUAAUAAAUUGCCUACUCAUCAGGCCAGUGUAAGGUAGGUUGGAUUGUAGGCUGAGAAGUACCAAACCGAGGAAGACCAGAGUUGGGCAAGGCUAAAGAUUGAGGAAUACCAUGAGGAUGUAGCAUAUAAGAAUGCAUCCGAGCCAUCUGCCCAGGAGGAACAAAACCAUUAGUCCUAAUAGUGAUGGAACAAUAGGUACAACAUUAGCAUUAUUUCCCUCAAGAAAUAUAACCAAAGUGCGCUUGGGAACUAUUCAUAAGGAAUAAAAUAGAACAAUCAACACAACCAAUAUGAUAAUCUAAGCAUAAAAGGACCAUAUAUAUGAGUUGCAUUCCUCUAUGUAACACUACAAACUCAAAAUGCAGCAAACAAUCUGAUGAUCAUAAUAGCAUAUGUGCAAUUUAAGGCUUUCACUCGUUUGAACAAAUGAGACAUCAAACAAGUAUACAGAAUUUAUUUCUCUAUCCAGCAACUCAGCCCAGCCUGCACACAUAUGGGAUAAAUCAAAAGAAUCACAUAUUCAUGUUUCUCAAUACAGCAAGGCAGCAACUAGGCAAGUAAUCCCAAAUUCCAAAGUACCAACAAAUAUUUAUGAGCAGAAAACAGAACGCUACAUCAGUGCAACCAUUACCAAUAUUGGAUUGCAUAUCAAAACGAAUGAUAGCCACAUGGGCAACAAAAAAAUUCAGUUUCAUAAGUUUGUGGACAUUGUCAAGAGGACAGUUCAGUUCAUGGUGCCAAGAACAAGAAUGGUGGGAGGGGUCAAAACAUUAAACGUUCAGGAAGAUCAUCAUCCUUCGUUGCCAUGUUAGUCUGCAUUACGCAAGAUGAUUGUUACUCCCUCCGUCCCAAAAUAUACAAUAUUUUUCCUCCGAGCGUAACGAAAUUUUUGACGUUUCCACUUUUGCCCUGGCGACCGAUUCCACUCCUCUCGUCUCGGGACUCCCACUCCUCUCGCGUUCCUCUCUCCGACAGCCCCAAAUCCCUAGCUCACCCACUCCUCCCUAGUGUCGUUGCUGCCGCCUCCCACUCGCCGGCAUCGUUGAGCCUCCCUCUAGCCGGUGUCUCCUCUCCCAUUCCCCUCGCUCACCUACUCCCCUCCAAAGAUGGCGUCGUCCCCUCUGCCCGUCUGGUGUCCUCGCCUAUCUUCCAAAGAUUGCUUUUUUUUACUCCAACGCAUCUGAAGCGGUGAUGGGUACUUGUGCGGAGGCGGCGGAGGCAGCGGCGGCGCUGUAUCUAAAGAGGGCACCAUAGCAGCAAUGGCAGCAUUGGAUCUGAAGCGGUUGACGGCACCGUUGCGGCGGGAGGAGCAAUUAUGGCGAGCACUACCACGACGGUGAGUCCUUGUGUUUGUACUCUGUACUGAUGCUGCUACUUAAGUGAUGCUGCGACAGAGUGGUUCUGCUCCGAUGAUGCUACUGUAUUUCUGCUCUAGUGAUGGUGUUGUAGUAGUAGUUCUGCUCUAGUGAUGUUGCUGCUUUAGAUCUUGUGAAGUUAUGAUGGAGCUCAAGUCUAGUAAAGUUCUUGUGAUGGAGUAAACAUCACUGAAUUUUGCUUGCAGUGUUGUUCACUGAAUUUUCCUUGCAGUUUUGUUCACUGAAUUUUGCAUGUGAACUUUUGGCUGCUCCUUGUGAUGUUUACUAAAUUUUACUCCAUUAACAUAUGCUUGUAGUGAUGUGCAGGUAGUAAAGUUUUACUGAGCUCACUAAAGCUUGUGCUUGUGCUUCAGAUCUGCUUUUUUGCUUGUGAGGAACAAAGGGAACAAAAGGAGUACUGCUCUAGUGAUGCUCUACUGACUUGCUGUACAUUUGUGGGAAUAACUUGAUUUCUUCUUGUACAUUUUCAGUUAAAAGAUGUUUGGUGUAUGCUUGCUUGUUGUACAUGAUGGAGGAUUAUUGGAGUAAUUUGAGUAAGCAUUUUUUCUGUUUGCGUUGUUGCAGUCCAAGACGAUUGAUCGAUGCAGCUGCUACCUGCUGCUGCUGUAUGCACCAUGUCUGAAGAAGACCCCUCUGUGGACCGAACUCUCUGGAGUACUGUAAGCAUGCACACUCUGUUAUGAAUGGAAUGAAAUUGUUUAUGUGAAGUGUUAUUUUUCUUGCUCCUGUAGUAGUAGUUCUUCAUUUGAAGUGUGAGUUGUACUCCUACUUGUUCAUGUGAUUGUUUUGCUUGUUCAUAUGGAAUGGAAUUUGUUCUUCAUGGAGUACAACAGGAGUGGUAGUCUCAAGUCAAAUUGGUUGUUCAUGUGUUGCUGUUGAUGCAACUGUUGUUCUCCAACUGGAGUAGUUUUAACUUCUGGUAGAGUAGUUAAAACAUGAUGUAGUAAAUUGUAAAACUUCAGUUAGAGUAGUUAAAACAUGUUGUACUACUUGUAGUAGCAGUGGUGGUCAUCUAGUUAAAAAAAUUGUACUUGGAGUAGCAGUGGUGGUCAUCUAGUUAAAACGUGUUGUUUGUUGUACUUGGAGUAUUAGAUGGAGUAUAAUGCUCUAUAGGAUUUCUUUUCUUUUAGGAUUCCUUUUUCUUUUACUCCUCUCCUCUCUCUUCUCUCCUCUCUACUCCUUUCUUCUCUGGACUUGUUGUACUAUUAGGAUUUCUUUUACUUUAGGGUUUCUCUCCUCUGUCUUCUCUCCUCUCCUCUCUCUUCUCUCCACACAAAGUUCCUAAGGAUUACUCAUAGGAAUAUAUAAUUUCAUUCUCUCCUCCCCUCUCCUCUCUCUUGUCUCCUCUUCUCUUCUUCCCUUGUCUCCUCUCCACACAACUUUGAAAAAUUCACAAAGUUCUUGUUUACUCCACACACAAAAUUCAGAAACAAUUUUAAGAAAUCCACAAUGAUGCCUACAAGAAAUCCACAAUGAUGCAUACAAACAUAUGGAUCACAUAACAAGUCUCUCAUCAAGCCUCUCAUCAGAAGGAGUACAAACAUAUGGAUCACAUCACAAGCAUCUCAUCACAAGGAGUACAAACAUAUGGAUCACAUCACAAGCAUCUCAUCAUCCAGCCUCUCAUCACAAGCAUCUCACCAUCCAGCCUCUCAUCACAAGCCUCAGUGUUCAUCUUGUUCUAGAUUCUCUAAGGCAUUGUAGUACACUUCACAUGGGAAAUGGAUCCUAGGAAGUAGAAUUCCAUCUCUUUCAAAUCUUUGUUUGGUGACGUGUGGAAUUUUGUAAGCAUUUCCUCCUGCAUGAUUCAUGACUUCAACCAUACAUGUUUGGAGUGUUAGGAAGAUUCUGUUGAGUUUUCCAACUUCAUAGUCAUCGAAUUCUUCUUCUACACCUUGAGUUAGUUCGGGGAUGGUGGUAGGGGCUCUGCAGUCCGUUAGAGACUCUAGGGAUUUGAAGUACCCAAGGUCAAGAGCGUUCAAGUCAGGAGAAUUUGGGGGUUGUUGCACUAGUUUGAUGUCCAUACCGGUCUCAGCCAUUGCUUCUGCAAACUCAACAUCAUUAGGUAAAAUAUGUGUCCUUGCAUUGUCCUGUUGGAUGAGGACUGUUUGUCCAACAUCUCCAAAGGGCCACACAUCUUUUAUUGCAGGAACAACUUUCUCAAUCAUGUAUCAUCUCAUGACUUCUCUGUUCACCAUGAGUGACUUGAAUUCUAUGACACCUCGUUCUUUAUUUUCACUCCUUCUUUAUGUCACAACUGUUGUGACGAAAGGCCAAACCCCAAUCUUUCCUGAGAAUGUGACAUUCCCGUCAGCGUCGUAUCUGGGCCUUGCAACUGCUGUGAGAAACAUCACCUUUCCAAUCUUGUUUGGAACUGGCCUUACUGGGUCUUCUUCAUCUGGCAUUAGGUAGUAGUUUAUGUUCCUUUUUGUCAUGAGAAACCAUUUCUCAUCAAUAUGCACAAUAUUAUGCAUAGUGUUGAAGCAAAUUCUUUCAUUCUGCAGGGUUGUCUGGUCCAGCAUCGACAUGCAAAAUCGAACCCUUUCUCUCUUAUUCUUCUCUUUCAAAGGCGGCUUCACCCUGUUGGAGUGCCUCCUUAUCAUUAAGCUGGAAUUUCCUGUGGAGUGUGGAGCGGCUGACACCCAAUGCAGCAGCAAGUGAUCAUAUGCUUGACCUUCUGUGUAGUGGAACUGCUGAGAUUUGUGAUAGAAAGCCAUCAACCACUUUUGUGCCGCAUCUUUCUGGUUGACACAUCCACCUGUUGACCAAGAGCAAUCUGUUUCUUUGCUAUCUUCCAAAUUCUUUUAAUGAGUUGGAUGUCUACUUGAAACAAUGCAGCCACGUCCUGCUUAUCGUUCCCUUUCAAAUCUCCACCUCUCUUAAUACUUAGCGCUUGCAUUGCCAUAUAAGCAGCAUAUCUCUUCUCAUUUGUUAGUGAUUUUCUCUUCCUCCGUAUUUGUUGAACACCUACAGUAGCAAUGCAACAAGAAAAUUAGAGAAAUUGUGCACUUGGAGAACAUGGAUGAAUAUAAAUUCAGUAAAAUCCACUUGGCUGAAUUUGAAUGCACUUAAGCGCAUAUAUAUCUUCAGUUAAGUGCAUUCAAAUUCAGUUAAGUCCAUUUAAAUCCACUUGACCAAAUUUGAAUGCACUUAAGCACAUAUAUAUUCAGUUAAGUGGAUUCUAAACUUAUUGCAGACUUGUGGUACAUAUAGUGUAAUUAAGUUCAUUUUAAUUCAUUUAAGUAGUAUGUAAAUACAUAUUCAGUUAAGAAUAUGUAUAUUCAAUUUACCUGCUUCUCCCACUGCUUCUCCCAUAGCUUGAUCCUCUUCUUCUCCCACUGCUUCUCCCAUAGCUUGAUCCUCCUCUUCUCCAACAACAUGUUCCUCUUCUCCUCCCACAUCUUCAUCCACAUCUUCUGGUGGAGAAAAGUUUAGGUCAAAGUUCAUGUUCCAAAUUCAGAGUUUGGAGCUGGAGCUGGAGUACAAGAAGCAAACAUAUUAAGAAUUUUGGAAUAAAAGUAAAUUGUUGGAGUACAAGUAAUUGGAGUAUGAACAUUUAAAUGGAGUAAACUUUUGCUUGAUGUCAAUUUAAAUUCAGAAUUGCUACAAAUUGCAGUCAAUUUAAGUGCAUAGGUUUGCAAUCAAUUUACCAUUGGAGUAGGAGUAAAUAUUGGUUUGUCUAGGUUUGUGCUAAGUGGUUGUUUUCUGUAAAUUAACAACAUGAACCAUGUCAAAUUCAGUUAAUUAUUGUACUGCAUUGGUUUCUUUAAUGUUGCGAUUCUUUAAUUCUCUGUUCUUUGAAAUCAUCAGGACUCCUGAUCAAUUAAGAUCAUGCAAUCUGUUUUCUCUGUUUGCUCUACUAUAUUCUCUGUGUAAAGUGAAAUACUAAGUCAUUCUCUGAAUAACGCCACUUGCUGCCACUAUAUUCUCUAUAAUUCUGAUUAAAUCAUCAGCUUGUGAGGUGAGGCACUAAAACUCUUGUGACAACAAGUCACCCAUACUUGAGGUGAGGCACCCAUCAGCUUGUGAUAACAACAAGUCACGCAUCAUAAUUGUGUGUACAUAAGUGUUUGGUGAGAGUGGCUCUACAAAUCAUAACAAGAAGUAUUCCAAGUAGUUCAGCUCAGAUGCAUCAUAAUUGUUCAUAUCAUAAUUGUACUACUGAAAAUUGUUUGGAUCAUUAUUGUUCUGCUGAUAUCUACUGAUUUUUUCCAUUAACACUGAUUUUUCAAUUAACAAUAUUCAGUUAACACUGAUUGUUGUAGCUGCUGUAAUCAGUUUAUUCCAGUUGAUAUGUACCUUGUCCUUGUAAUCACUUGUUAAAACUUGUUGUUAUGUUCAGUUUGAAGUAUAUCUGGCAGCUGUUAUUGAUCUGUACCUUGUCUCUGCAAUCAAUUGUUAAAUCUUGCUUCUGUUGGUCAAUUUGAAGUGAAUCUUACUGCUGUUGUUGAUCUAUACCUUGUCUCACAGUAUUGCAUUUCAAAUUUCUGUUUCCUGGAUUAAAAUUUCAAUUUCCUGCAAACAAUUUAAUCAGUAUUGCAAUUCAAAUUUCAGUUUCACUUCAAAUUUCCUGGAGUAUUGUACUGAUCUCUAUCUUGUUUGUCGGCUUCUCUGUUGAUCUGGAGCCUCGAGAUUCUCUACUUCUCGUUUGAUCUGGAGCUUCUCUGCUUCUCUACUUCCUGCAAUCUUCUCUGAUGCUUCUCUAAUGAUCUUCUUUGUUGAUUUUGUUGCAGCCUGGAUCUUCUGGCCAAGGAGGAGCACAGCGAGUAGCAGCCUGGGCACUGACUAGGAGGCGUUGGGGCCUGGGCGAGCCUGGGAGGAGGCGUUGGGGCCUAGGCGAGGAGGCGCUAGGCGCAGCGAGCCUGGGAGAGGAGCCGAUGGGCGUAGCGAGCUGGAGGCGCUGGGUCGAGGAACUGCUGGUGCUGGGCGAUGGCGACGUGCAGGAGCUGCUGGUGCUGGGCGACGGUGACGUGCAGGAGCUGCUAGGAGAUGCGCCUGGAGCUCGUGGGCGUUGGGCGCUGGGUGCGGCGAGGCGGCAAGCGCUACGCGUGGGGAAGAACCGAGGGCAUGGUGCCAUGGUCUCGUGGGUGCCUAGUGCCAUGGACGCGUGGGUGAUUUUGAAUUUGAAUUUCUGAGAAGGAUUGAGGAAGACGAUCGCGGGGAAGACGAUCGCAGGGGUAGAAACGUCCUUCUGACAGAAAUCGGUGCUGUCGGAAUUUUGAAAAUGCUCCUACAUUUCAGGACGGAGUGAUUGAGUGUUGGGGACACUAUCAUUUGAAGCACAAGAGCAAGGAGUUCAUCAUGAACAACACCAUCUAUUACCUUUUGCAAAGUGGUGUCUCUUAGAUUGGUUAGGUGUCACUUGGGAGCCUCCAAGAUAUUGUGGAGUUGAAUCAAGGAGUUUGUAAGGGCAAGCAGAUCGCCUACUUCAUGAGAAUCUACCCGAGUGAGGCUAGUACUUCGUGGGCGUAAGCCAUGAUGGAAAAGACAAGGUUGAUUCUUCAUGGGUGGAGCCCUCCAUAGACUCGCGCAAAUGUUACCCUCUAUGGGUUGAAGUCGCCAUCAAUGUGGAUUUACGAUAGCACCACCUAUCGGAACCAUGACAAAAAUCAUCGUAUCCUCAUUGUGUUUGAUAUCUCCGAUCUCUCCUUUACAUUCAUAUGCAAAGUCUUUACUUUCCGCUGCUCAACUCUUAGACUUGCAUGUGUAGGGUGUGCUUGACUUGGUAGAAUUGCUAAAGCUUGCCUACCACUAAAAUUGGGAAAAAGAUAAGUUUUUAUUACGUCAAGUAGUCUAAUAACCCC